GACGAACGCUGGCGGCGUGCUUAACACAUGCAAGUCGAACGGAAAGGCCCUGCUUUUGUGGGGUGCUCGAGUGGCGAACGGGUGAGUAACACGUGAGUAACCUGCCCUUGACUUUGGGAUAACUUCAGGAAACUGGGGCUAAUACCGGAUAGGGGCUCCUGCUGCAUGGUGGGGGUUGGAAAGUUUCGGCGGUUGGGGAUGGACUCGCGGCUUAUCAGCUUGUUGGUGGGGUAGUGGCUUACCAAGGCUUUGACGGGUAGCCGGCCUGAGAGGGUGACCGGCCACAUUGGGACUGAGAUACGGCCCAGACUCCUACGGGAGGCAGCAGUGGGGAAUAUUGCACAAUGGGCGGAAGCCUGAUGCAGCAACGCCGCGUGCGGGAUGACGGCCUUCGGGUUGUAAACCGCUUUCGCCUGUGACGAAGCGUGAGUGACGGUAAUGGGUAAAGAAGCACCGGCUAACUUCGUG
Molecule: ribosomal RNA, 468 nt
Filed under: uncultured bacterium
Lineage: Bacteria
Description: partial 16S ribosomal RNA
Rfam family: Bacterial small subunit ribosomal RNA
Source: RNAcentral